GAUGAACGCUGGCGGCGUGCUUAACACAUGCAAGUCGAACGGAAAGGCCCAAGCUUGCUUGGGUACUCGAGUGGCGAACGGGUGAGUAACACGUGGGUGAUCUGCCCUGCACUUCGGGAUAAGCCUGGGAAACUGGGUCUAAUACCGGAUAGGACCACAUUUUGGAUGGUGUGGUGGAAAGUUUUUCGGUGUGGGAUGAGCUCGCGGCCUAUCAGCUUGUUGGUGGGGUAAUGGCCUACAAAGGCGUCGACGGGUAGCCGGCCUGAGAGGGUGUACGGCCACAUUGGGACUGAGAUACGGCGCAGACUCCUACGGGAGGCAGCAGUGGGGAAUAUUGCACAAUGGGGGCAAGCCUGAUGCAGCGACGCCGCGUGGGGGAUGACGGCCUUCGGGUUGUAAACUCCUUUCGCUAGGGACGAAGCGUUUUUGUGACGGUACCUGGAGAAGAAGCACCGGCUAACUACGUG
Molecule: ribosomal RNA, 467 nt
Filed under: uncultured bacterium
Lineage: Bacteria
Description: partial 16S ribosomal RNA
Rfam family: Bacterial small subunit ribosomal RNA
Source: RNAcentral